Molecule: long non-coding RNA, 20575 nt
Organism: Peromyscus californicus insignis
Lineage: Eukaryota; Metazoa; Chordata; Mammalia; Rodentia; Cricetidae
Exons: 6
Source: RefSeq, a predicted model, not a curated record
UUUCUCUGUGUAGCUUUGCGCCUUUUCCUGGAACUCACUUGGUAGCCCAGGCUGGCCUCGAACUCACAGAGAUCCGCCUGGCUCUGCCUCCCGAGUGCUGGGAUUAAAGGCGUGCGCCACCACCACCCGGCCUGCAUUUUUAUCAUCAUGAAAACUAUUUCUCAAUAAACUUGGUGCUUUUAUAAUAAUUUUACUUCUCAACAAAGGGUUAAUUAUCAUUCCUAAUCUUUCCUUCUCCACACCAUAAGUACACACCACUCAACUUUGGGGUCAUUCUUCUUUAGGUCUUUGCUCCAGGAAUAAUGACAAAAAUGUAUUUCUGAAAAGCUUUUCAUAUUAUUUUGCCUCUGCUUGCACAUGUAUUUUUCUUUGCCUGUGUCUUCAUCUCUUGUGUAAUCCUUAUUUAUGUCUCAAGGUGUGUCUUAGUUUUGUUGACCCUUCAAUAUUGUGACACAUGGCAUCCCUUUGUAUGCCCAUCAUUCUUGAUCUUAUCUCAGAUCAAUGAUUUAUUUAUCAAACAUCUACUAGAUGUUAGGGCUGAAAGAGUGAACAAUAUAUUUAUGAUCCUUGCAUAAUACCAAAUACUCUGGUAAGUUUUAAACAAACCAGAAGUGCUAUAGAAUAUCAAUUUAAACUGUAGCAAGCACUGAGACAAAAAUUAAAACAAUAUAAUAGCUCUGAGAGUGACAAGCAGAGGUGGUGGGGAGGAUUCUUUAACAGUGUGGUCAAAUAUCACUUCUUUAAAGAAAUCUUUUGUCAAGAUGAGAAGGAGUCAUCUCUCUCAAAGUUCUAGAGGAAGAAAAUUCUAGUCAGAGAGAAAAGAAACACAAAUUUUAAAGUAGGGCCAUGCUUGCUACGUUUGAUGGAUGAAAGAAGGGAAGUGUGGUUGAGGCACAGAGAAUGAAGGGACAGAAAGCAAAAUAAAGACUUGGGGUUUCAGGGACACCAAACCGUCGAUGGCUUUAUGGCUUCCAGUAAUAUGUUUGUGUAUUUUUCUCUUAUCAAUGAAAAGUACUCACAGCUUAUGAUCAGACUUUAAUUUUUACUUAGUUCUUUACUUUCUUUAGUUCUUUGCAGACUUUACUUUCUCUUAGUUUUCAGUGAAGAAUAAACUCUAGGAGUGUAAGAAUGGAGAUGGAAAUUAACGAAUGCCUAGGGUGAGGAAUGAAGAUGUUAGGAGGUGGGCACAUUCGCAUUAUUUGUUAUUUUAUUUUGCCAUUUAUUUUUUUUAUUUUGCCAUUUCUUAAGAUAGGAUCUCUCUUUAUAUCCCAGUCUGUCCUUAGACUGCCCACCCUCUGCUAUAGCCUUCCCCAAGUUCUCGGAUUAUAGUUGUACACCACAUGCUGAGAUGGCAUUUUUAUAGAUUAUAUCGAUUAACUUUUGAAGUGGCACUCAGAGAGCAGACUUGAAGAUGAUUAUGGGUUUUCAUUUAAAAAUAUUGAUGAUAAUGAAAUACGAACAAUGGGUAGGAAAAAUAGGAUUUUAGUUAUUUUUAAAUUACUGGAUUUUUUUGGGACAGUGUCUUACCAUGUAAGAGAAAAGAGCCAUCAUUAGGACAGAGCACGGAACCGUAGUGUCUGGGAAGAGUCCAGUGCUGUCACAGAGAACAACAUUUGGAAGCCCAAAGAAGGACUGGAGGUCAAAGUUCAACCAAUGACAGUUAGCUAUCUCCCACUAUUAAAGUUGCUUGUCUAUAUUUGCACAUUCUUUAGUAGAUUCUAACUUCCCUGGUACUAGAGAGCAUCAACUUUCUUCCUUCAAUAUAUCGGUGCAGAGCCUAUCCUACCGUAAGGUCUUAGUAAUUAUUUAUUGAAUUGAUUAAUGAACAUAUGACUUCUGGGGCUUCAGAAGACUCAACGAUUCCUGACAGUGAUGAGAAAAGUGGAGAGACGAUUUUUGGUCCUUGCACUGACCUCCAGCCAAACUGUGCCUUAAAUUUCCCUGAAGUGUAACUUGGGAGCUAUAAAAAGCAAGCCCAACAGCUCAUUGGAUGGCAUUCAUUGAAGAAUGAUGGACAGCCAGGCAGAGUGCGCCAUGCAGAAGGGGACUGGGAAGAAUGACUGGGCUAUCGUUUCCGUUAGUUAUAUAUUCACAAAUAAGCUGGGAAUUGCGGCUCUGCUUUGAUUCACCUCACUGAAAGUGAAAACGGAGAACUGAGUGUUUCCCCAAAGGAAAUCUAAAACUGAAUAUAGCAUAGAUACUAAUGGUGUUUUUGCUUAACUUUCAAUAAUGUAUCAUUUUAUGAUUUAAUAUCAAUUCUAGGGAGAUACAUUAGAAGCGACACAUAAAGCAUUUAGAGUUCCUCGGAGAAAGCUAUUCAUAAUUCUAAAAUUAUAGUGAUAAUUAUUGGAUAAUGAAGAUGUCUAAAGUCACAUCUGAGCUACACAUUGAUAAGCUUCUAAAUCUGCUUAUAGUUCUAAAUACAGAAAGGAAGAUAUUUUUAUUCUUAUACUACCAUGUUUUCAAUGUAUUUACCUCAUAAAUUCUUACUCAUAUUUUAAAUGUAGGAGUGUCUCAAAUUCAUAUGCCUUGUUUGUUUUUCAGGGUCUUCCUAUGUAGCCCACAUUGGAAUUACAGGUGUGUGGAAUUGCGCCACCUCUUCUGAACUAUUUCCUCUUUCCUUUCUUGAAAUUUUCCUGAAGUGAUUGUUUUUCCCCCUGUCAGCUUAACUAUGCCAAUGAUUUCCACACAUAUAUCUAAUCUAGGAAUAACCUCUGCAGUAGAGACCCAAAUACUUACUAUUUAUUAUAAAUUGUUUUUAUUUUCUUCUGCUGUUUUCAUGUGGUGUGUGUGUGUGUGUGUGUGUGUGUGUGUGUGUGUGUGUGUGUGUGUGUGUGUGUACAAGCAUUGUAGGUACAUGUUGAAGCCCAAGGUGAUGUCGGGAACACCCUCCAUCAGUCUUUCAUCUUAUUCAAUGAAACAGGGUCUCUCAAUGAAAUCUGUAUCUCACCAAUAUGGCUAGUCUCUCGGGCCUCCUUGCUCUGGGAAUCCUGUCUGCCUUUGGAGCCUGGAAAUAGGGGUGUGCCACCAUUCCUCCUGUCAUUUUACAUGGUUCUCGGCAUCUGAGCUCCAGUCCUCCGGCUUGUACAGCAUGUACUUGAUUGACAGGGCCCUCUCCUGCGCACCCCAGGAUGUAAAUUCUCAAGGGUGUGACUUCAUGUCUGCUUUAUCCAUGACUGUACCAACAGUUACUUGAUGCUUAACAAGUUUCAAGAAAUGUUUGCUGAGAGGUGAUAAUGAUGUAACAGUGCUACAUUUUUCUUAGUUUUGGCUCAUUUAAUUACUCAGUGUUUUUCCCUUGUUGAUGUGCCCAAUUCUGAAAUCCUACAUUCUUUCAAAUGCCACUUUCUCCAUGAACUAAUGUAUUCUUCCGGAUGAAGGUAGCAUCUCUUCUAGACAACCGUGAAGCUUUAUCUGGUCCUUAUUAAGGUCUUCUUUGGCCCGACAGAUAAACAGAUAUAUACAGAUAUACAGAAUACAGAGUGAUAGAAUGAAAUAGUCUCAAUCUGUGAUGAAAAACAAUCUCUCAGGGGUUGAGGAUUUAGCUUAGUGGUAGAGUGCUUGCCUAGCAAGCACAAGGCCCUGGGUUUGGUCCUCAGCUCCGAAUUAAAAAAAAGAAAGAAAGAAAAACAAUCUCUCUCUUCAUUACUCCAGUUUGGCAUCUUUUCACCUUGCUGGAUCGUCUCAUCUUUCUAUGUCUGUUAUUCUGAAACAUGAGUUGGCAGUGGAUGCAGACUGAGAGGUGGUUACUGUUCGGGAGGGGAUCUGAUUUCCCAUAAGUUGUUGAUCCAGGUUUGCCCAGGCAAGCCCUUGUUCUUGUGUGAUCUGGCAUCAUAAUGCACACGGCUCAGAAGUGUCUGAGCUGAAUGACAACGUUCACCUAACGGGUAAGUCACUCUAUAUGGCAUAACCGUUGAUGGAUUUCAAAGAGCUUUGUGUACAGAAAGAUAUAAAAAGAAUGGUAAUACGAAAUCAUCUAUGAUGUAAACAUUUUUGUUAUAGAAUUUAUAUUUUCUUACCAUGGUGGAAACUUGACCAACCUUAUUUCCUUUUACAUAAAGAGAGGGGUUAUUAUUUGCUUAAUAAUCUAUAAGGUGAUGUUUGGAUGGGGAAUAGCUCAAAAUCAAAUAUACCAAGCAAAGAUUGUCCCUUGUGAGGACUUACCAUCAAAAAGCUUCAAGUCAUCAAGGACCCCUGACUUUAGGAUGUGAUGUAAGGUAUAGGGAGCCACAAAUGCACAACAGCUCCCUGCUUAACCUGUUCCCAGGAAGCUUUUAAAGGAUUUUCUCUGGUGAAAUUCCUAUUGUAUAGACACACUUCUGUAUAUACACACUUCGUGCAGCAGAUGGCGUGUUUGCAACAAAUUGUUCUUUCUCUAUUCCCACCCCCUCUUUGGAAACUAACCACCAGGUUUCUGCCAGAAACUGCCACAUUCAGGGUGACACAUGAUGCUGUUAAAAUAAAACAUAAAGGUUAGAGUAAGAUCGGUGAUGGGUCCUAAAUUGAACAUUGGUUUCAAGAAACCACCUCUAUAAGAGUCUAGAAAUGAAUAGUCCAUAAUAUGAUGAAAAACUCCAGCUGACAUCAAAGGAACCUCUUGCCUUCUUUUUAAAGAAUUCUGUUUAAUUCAUAAUUCAAAGAGUCCGUGAAACAUUCUGGAAACUUUUGGAGAGAUAUCAGCCCUUCAAUUCAAAAUGAUGCACUCUGGGAAACGGUGGUGCCAAGGUGGCAAGCCUACUAGGGAAUUUACACCAGCAAUCAAUUACAAUUACAAAGGGGAUUAAAACAGGACUUUAAAGAGCCGAGCUCCACCCUCAGGGCUCCCAGCUGUGUGGUAAACAUAGCAAAGGAGCCUGUAAUUAGAGGAAACCUGUAAUUAAAAUUUUCGACCCUCUUAGGGAGACACUCUGAAGGCUUAAAGGGGUAGGAAAGAACUCCAUUUCAGUGGUCUUGGGAAGGUACUUCAUGUCUUCAAGAGAAUCUGUUUCUUCUGAUAUCAUCAGCCCCGUCUUGUGCUAGUUUUUCUUUUAAGUCUAUAUUGCUCCUACUGUUCAGGAAUAAUUUGAAGGAUUUGCAAAUCCACUGCUGGAGACUGAUUACAAAAGAGAGGGAAGAAGAGAAAAAUGAUUUUGAACUCUGAAAUAACUCUAGAAGCCCUGAUAACAGUGAAGGACAAGGUGAUUAUUUCAGCUACAAUGGAUAACGAAAAUACUUUUUACCUGCUGUCUCUCUUGUGGUGAAAUGCAUAGCAAAACAUGUUCUGAACAGUUUUAUCAUAAGCUCCAAACAAAUAGAAAAAUGAUUGGCAUUCUAGCCUCUGUCGAUCAAAGAAGAUCCCACAAGACAGGUAUUGUCUGAUGAAGUUUUGAUGAAAGUGGGUAAAAUGAUCUAAUGGUUUAGUGGUACUAGAAAUAAAAUGAAGAAACUAUUCCAUGGUGAUUUUGUAAACAAAACAAAACAAAAAGCUUGAGAAUUUAUUUUAAUGAGUGUAUUUUUAUGUGAUAUGACCCCUCUCUCUCUGUAUGUGUGUGUAUCUUUCACAUUGAAUAUAUUUAUUAAAGACUUCAAGAAAAAUUAAGCCUCCUUCCAAAAACUAUUUGAUGUAUGCCAUUAAUGAAGGCUAAGAAAGUGAAAUGAUAUGUGCAAGGCUGUAAUUAAACUCUCAUGUAUCCUGAGUCUCUGUCCAGUGUAUUAUAUUUAUAUGUAAUGCUUGGUUCUGUGAAAAUAUCUAGAAUUACAGUUACCUUGUGUGGCAAAGAUGAGCUUUAAGAAGGAGACAGUUUCAAACCCAUGGAGAGUAUGUUUUCAGUCAAUACAUUAUGUGAAAUGGCUUCCAAAUUUGAAAAGCCAAGGAAGAUUAUCGUGUCGUUUUUGAUGAGGUAGAACCAAAGUGGGAAACUCAUGAUAAUAUGCAAUAUGUUAGCUCUGUUUUUCUUCAUAAUACAAGCAGUAACUAUUAAUGAGUUUCAACCUAUACCAACUUUUCAUUUCAGAUUUUAUUCAUGCUACUCUUGAGAGAAAAUUAUAUACGCUUGCUAAGCUUUAUUGCUAAUGAUGUUCAGUACCUUCUUUCUUCUUUCUCCCCCACCUUUUCUUCCCCUCUGUCACUGCACGUGUGCACAGUAUAUGUGCAUGUGUGUAUGUGUGUUGGCAUGUAUGUAGGUAGACUGAGCCAUUGCCUCUGUUCUCAUUCUUGCUUCUUCUUCCUCUCUCUCUCUCUCUCUCUCUCUCUCUCUCUCUCUCUCUCUCUCUCUCUCUCUCUCUCUCUCUCCUGGUCUCUCUCUCUCUCUCUCUGUCCCCUUCUCUGUUUCUUUUAUGCCCCCCUCUCUCUAUGUAGUACUGAAGAUAGAAUUCAAGGCCUCAAUCAGGCUGGCCAAGUUUUCUGCCAUUUAAUUAAAUCCCUUUGUUUCUCAAUUUUCUUUAACAAUAUUGAGCAGGAAUUUGUAAUUUCUUGACUUUUUAACAAGGAAUGCUGUUGAAUAAAUUAUUUUAGUAAAGAAUCAUGAUUUUCUUUAUAAAUCAAAUAAUCUAAGGCCAUUAAAAACCAAAGAGGAGAAGACUUCACUGUAAUGUAAAAGGCAAUGAUGCCGGCUUUGGGGAUCACUAAUGUGUCCUGUAUGUUACACUUACACAAACAUGCAUGUGAUUUUUAAGUGGGUUGUCCUUCAGUUCCUUUUCAAGGGGCCUUGACUCCUGCACUCCUUCCUAAGUACUCUGUUAGAAUUUGCAUUUACUCUAACUAUGUUUAGGAAGUGUAAUGUGUUCAAAAUUGUUACAGAGAUCAGAAGAGAGGACAGACGUAAAACAAUAUUUUCAAGUCUCUCACACCAAACAAGGGACAUAAGUGUCCCAGUACUCUUGUCGCAGCCCUUACUGUAGCCACCUCGUGCUGUGGCUCAGCAUACGCACCUGCAGGAGAGAGCUGCUGUUUGAGGGUGCUUCUCUCAACAACUUUUUUGUUUCUUUUCCAGUGUCUGACAUAAGAAAAUCAUCCAAAAAUUGUUGAAGAAAUGACAACAUGUUGAUCAAUGUAGCUCAUAGUGCUUUCAAUGUUCCUGUCUUUAAUAAUACAUUAUUGUGGUGAUGGAAGUAGGCUAACUUGCUAUUGUUGUUAUGAACAAGACUUGCAAGAGGUCAGGACAACCUGAAUAUUGCUUGAAGUCAUACAAUUAGAUUAGAGGUGUUCUGCUGCAGGGAGGAGAGACACCAUCAAAGAAAGACAUCCUAUUUUCUCAACGUUGAGGGCCAAGCAAACAUCACUCAGUCAUUUUGCUUUCUUCACAUGUGAUCAACAGUUGUGUGGUAGGAAUAGGUAGUGUACCAAUUUAUACUUAUUUACAGUAUAACUUUGAUAAGUACCUGACUCUAGUAUUGAUUCUUGAGGACAAAAAUGGCAGUUUGAUAUGAGAAGCUCAUCUGUGUUUAAUUAUUGUUGUACAAUAAACAAGCUGACUCUAGUUCUCGUCAAAUCCCUUGGGAUUUUUAACAAAUGGCUUAUUCUCUGGAAAUUAAAAUGCCUGAGAAUUCUCAGAAUUUGUAGAAAAUAUGUACUAGGCUGUUAACAUUCAUUUGGUCUUUAUAAAUAUAAUUAGUAGUUUUAUGUGUGAAUGUGUGUGUGUGGGGAGGGUUACUCUACCACUAAGCUAUAUAUUCAACUCCUCAAGUAUAUUUUCUUGAUCUAUCAACACACUUUUUAAAUGUAAAAUAUUCUAAAUCUUGGAUAUUGUUCCUGCUACAUCUUAGAGCUUGAAGGAAAAAAGAACAUUUGCUUCAAGGUUCUGCAACUUCUAGAUUGCACCGCUUCUCUGUUCUCACUUCCUCCAUCUUUUACAUCCUAAGUCCAUCUAGUCACCGUCAUCCUUUCAAUUACUCCUGAGCAGGCUUGCACCUCAGGCUCUGUCUAGCUUGCCAGGACUGUUCUUCCCAUAUUCUCAUAUGGCUUGCUCCCUCCUGUCCUUCAGAUUUCUGCUCAUAUAUCAAGUUGUUGGUGAGACAGUUUCUGCACAUCUUAUAUAAGAUAGUAGUUUUAUUACUAUAAACAAAUAGGCAUUUGGUACUCAGCAUACCUGUUUAUUUAUAAAAUAUUAACAGUUGAAUCUGGGAUUGAAUUUGUUGUAGUCCACAGACCCAGGCAGGGUAGAUCUAAAGUGGUAUGAGCUUUGAUGAUUCUAUAUCUCUUCUACUUAUUCUUGUCAAUAUUUUCUCAAGAUUCUCCAAUAGCAAACAUAACCCAGCUACUUCAGGAUGCCAGUCAUAGUUUUCUGCACUUUAGAUAGGAAUCAUUCUACUGCCUUUUACUUUGGAUACUUCUACAUAGUGAUGGAAGGAAGUGAUUUCUAUUCCCUGAGUUCUUUCUCUUUGACCUUGGGUGAGUGAUUUCAUUAUCUCCCUUCCCUACAUAUAGAAUGAUUAGUACUACUGACUUGGCCAAAUACACAGAGCUGCAUCAGGAUGAAAUGCAGUGUGUUUCAACGUGCUUUGUAAAAUAAUACAGUGAUCAAAGCAAUGUGGUGACAUAUGCCUGUAAUCUCAGCACCUGGGAGCCUGAAGCAGGAGCAUCAUUGGUUUCAAGUCAGCCUGGGUACAUAGUGAAAACUCAUCUCAAAAAGCCAAAGUGUGGUGGGAUAAAGUGCGGAAGGAGCAUUUGUUGUUACAACUAAUCUAGCAUCUGAGAGUUUGAACUUUUAGCAAUGUUAUCGCUUCAGUUUCUCAACUGAGUGAGUUCUUGUAAUGGACCGCUAAACAUAAGUGACACUAAAAUAACUCCCUGCGUACACUGCAGCUUGGGAUACAAGAUAAAGGGAUGAACUUGCAGAUUCAGAAUCAUAUUAAUUAGUUAAAUCUCCCUGGUCUAGUAGACAGUAAUAAAAAUUAGCAUGACGCUAAGUAACUUUUGUUUUCUCAUCAUUAUUAUCAAAUUAAUUAAUCUCACUUUAAAAGUCCAUAACAAACUUUUUACCCUUGCCACAGUAUUUAAGAUAAAAUUAUGACAUAAUUUCCCCCAAACCAAGAACAUAAUGUAUACUUUUUUCCCUAUGCUGUUUAAUGACUAAUUCAGAGUCAAAGACUUGUGAGAUACAGUUGUCCAAUACAUAGGAGAUCCUGGGUUCUUUCUGUUCCCAGCACUGAAAACAACCAAACAAAGCCCCUCCCCCGACACACACAAAAAAAUAAACCCAAGAGACAAACAAGGCAUGAAAGGAAAUGUAAUGAACUUCUCCAUUGAAAAAGAGGAGACUAAUCUUAAGAGCCAUCGUCUAUGUGUUAAGUUUUUGGGAAGACCCCAUGUAGGUUAAGUCAAUAAAGGAGCAUAUGAAACUAGAAAUUCUUUUCAGAACUAUUUUACUUACAUUUUUACUAUUUAAAAUAUUGUUGAAGGCAUUAUAGACUUCUUAGUGAACAUCAAUGAAGUUACAAAUAUCUACAUUAUGAAUUAUUUUCUACUUUUAUUAAAAUAGCAAUUAUCAAGAUUUAAGGUUUUAUCACUUCUAUUCCUUUUGGGUCCAGAGAUGUCUUUGUAAAUUCCUCACAGAGCUGGCACAGUAGUGCUGCCAUGAGACUGAUGGUGACUGAGUAGGCUAUAAACAAAACCUCCACCAGGCAUGGUGGUACACACCUUUAAUUCUGGCACUUCGGAGAUAGAGGCAGAGGCAGGUGGAUCUCAAUGAGUUUGAGGUCAAUCUGGUCUGCAUAGUAAGUUACAGUCCAGCCAAGGCUAUAUGGUGAAGUCUUGUCACAAAUCAAUCAAUCAAUCAAUCAAUCAAUCAAUAAACCCUCCAAACUUUCUUUUUCUUUCUUUUUUCUUUUUUGGUUUUACUAAUGAAUUUAUGGAAAUCACAUAAAGUAAGAAUGAUUUAAUUAGUACAAUUUAUAGUACCAUUGUGUAAUGGGUCAAAGAAUAGAGAAUACAAACACAAACUGUUAAUCAUUAACAAAAAGAAAACAUCAACUCUCAAGCCCACAUUUUGAUCUUUUCAUUUUCAACAGAGAUUCUAUGUUUAAUCUGAUGCACACAAUCACACACAAAAUGGUUGUCGUUUUUAGACAAGGUUUGACUAUUGUACCUCAUGCUAGACUAAAAAUCUGUGAUCCUAGACUGAAAAUUUGUGACCCUCUUGCCUCACACACCUCACUCCUGCAAUUUCUUCUAUAUAUCACCACAGCUACCUAAAGUGGAUAGUUUUACAUAAUGACUCAGCUUUGUUUUUACAAAAGUUUGAGGCAUAAUUUCUUUCUAUUAUAGAGGUCUUCAAUGAACUUAGGAUUUGCACUAUAAAGUUGAUCUUUAUGUAGACAUGUAUUGUUAUUUAUAUACUCCUUUGUUCACAUUGCCAAUAUAGCAAUAAUGAUGAUAGAAAUCUUUAUUCUUAUUUUUUUUUCGAUUUUUUGAGACAGGGUUUCUCUGUGUAGCUUUGCGCCUUUCCUGGAACUCACUUGGUAGUCCAGGCUGGCCUCGAACUCACAGAGAUCCGCCUGGCUCUGCCUCCCGAGUGCUGGGAUUAAAGGUGUGCACCACCACUGUCUGGCUUAUUCUUAUUUUAAACACAAUUAUUUUUAAAGAUUUUCUAUACUAUAAUAUGGUGAUAUUUUAUUUGUACUGAAAUGUGAUUUUAUUUGUAUGUUAAUAAAUAAAGUUGCCUGGAGAUCAGAGCUAAUAGCAAGCCAUAGCAGAAGUCUGGCAGUGGUAGCACAUGCCCUUAAUCCCAAUCACAUGACAGGCAGAUCUCUGUGUGUUCAAGGAUACAGCCAGCAUGGAGACACAUGCUUUUAAUCUCAAUACCAAGCGUAGAAGACCUGAAGGUCUGUAUAGAUGGGCAGUGAUGAGGAGGUCAUGUGGUUGGGUUUACAACCAAUGAGAAGGCAGAAUAGAAAGUCUAUAAAAAGACAAACACACAGGAAGUAAGUCUCUUGCUGAGGAGGACAGCAGUGGCAGUGAAGGGUAAGGUUUUUAGCUUUUAACUAUUGAUCUGACCUCUUGGGCUUUUAACCCUGCAAUUGGCUCUGUGUUUCUUAUUUAAUAAGAUUGUUCAUCUACAUCAUAAUAAUUAAAUUAAAUUAUAGAUUAGCUCUAUCAUGUUUCCAUCUAUGUAUGUGUAUAUUUAUUAAUUUUUUUAUUUUAUUAAAUUUUCUAUUCAUUUCACAUACCAACCUCAGAUUUCCACCCCCCCAAACUUUCAUAAUAGAAAAUUCUUUAAAUGUUUCAAUUCAUGAGACAGUGUGUAUAAUAAUUAUUUAUUUUUAAAAUAAAGUUGAAUUGUGGCAUGUUCUAAAGAACAAAUCACCGUCAAAUAAACUGCCACCAAUAAACUCGAGAGGAAAAUGCAAACAUAUUAAGUGAACCCACAAAAUUUUAGUCUUGGUUGAAAAUUGUAGAAUUUCAUAGCCAGUGCUUUUCCAUUUUUCUCCUAUCAUUUUACUUUUGUUAUGCAUGGAAGCAUCUUGUGAUAGAGUGAGAGAAUGGGGUGCUAGGAAAGAAAAAUGUAAUCUUAAAUAGCAUUUAACACAUGGUGAUUACUUGUUCUUGCAAUUCACUAUUGAUUUUUGGAAAUAACAGUAUGAUAUUACAAGUAUUGAUCCAGUGUAAUUUGACAUUCUUGAGGAAGUAGUAAAGUAUGUGGAUAGAAGUAAAUGCAAUGAGUCAUUCUAUAUUGAAGACACAGUUAUGGCAGUUAAUGAUAGAGUUAACAAUUGCCUCUUUGGAUAAUGAAUAUUGGGGUCAUACUUUGCUCUUACAUCAGCUGCUCUCAGUAAGCUAGGCCACUGUCAGCAAGGAUAGACCCAUAUUUUCUUUCCAGGUACAAACCUAUUUUAAUUUUUUUUCCUUAGGAGUAGUAGUGGAAUAGAGGAAUUGGGUUGGAUUUGGCAGCUACUCAGCUGUGCAAGUUUGAGAAAGUCAUUUUACUACCUUGAGCCUUGAACUUAUAAAGCAGAAGAAAAUAAUGACUACUUAUCCAUCAUGAUUACUGUGAAAAAUAACAUAAAAUGGACAUAAUGACUAUGCCAGGCUGCUAGUAAGCCGUAAGUGCUAGGUGUUUUUCCCUUUUCAGAUUAGAGGUUUAAGGUGAAAGUAAAUAAUCACUAAUGAUUGUAGAACAUGUACAUGGUUUGGUUCAAGUUGACCGAAAAAUACACUUCAGAUUUAGUACAUAAAACCACACCAACACAGUAGUUUUGAAAAGUUAUAGAUCUAUAUGUGCUGAAUGCUCUCUCCACCUGGAAAAAUCUUUUUCCUUCUCUUCACUUUUAAUGAAACCUUAGUCAUAUUCAGCCUUUUGUCUUUUAGGAAGUCUUUUCUGAUGCCCCAGUCACUGUGACUUCUUUUUCAUAUUUAUGUACUAUACAAUGUACCCUCUUUUAAGAUGCCCAGGAUGAACUGCUGUAGUGUGUAAAAGUUAUUGUUCUCUUAGUAACCACACCAGUUGCUAAGCUGUGUGAAGCCUGCACAAUUGCACACGCAUCUCAUGUGUGUGCUCAUUUGUGCAGGUGCAUUCCUCUGUGCAUCCCUGUGCGGAGGCCAGAUGUCGACAUUGGCUGUUUCACUCCAUCACUUUUCAUCUUAUUUUGGGGGACAGAGUGUUGUGAAUAUUUGUACUGUGUGAAGAUACAUUACUGUAAUUGGUUUAAUAAAGAGCAGAAUGGCCAAUAGCUAGGCAGGAGGUAUAGGCGGGACUUCCAGGCAGUGAGAAAGGAAGUAGGAGAUGAAUCUAGAUGUGUGUUAGAUGCCAAGGGGACAUGGAGGGAGUUGGACAUAUAGAAUGAAAGAAAAGUAAAAAGUCACGAGGCAAAACGUAGAUUAAUAGAAAUGGGUUAAUUUAAGUUAUAAGAGCUAGUGAGACAAGCCUAAACUAUAAGGGCUAGUGGGACAAGCCCAAGCUAAGGCAAAGCUUUCAUAAUUAAUAUAUCUCUGUGUUGUAUGGGAGCUGGCUGGCAGGACAGAGAAAGACUUGUUACAUAUGGCGCCCAAUGUCUGGCCAUGUACAUCUACAUAAGGACAAGAAAGCCCCCCCCCCCCGCAAAUAUUCUGAACACAGAGUCAAAUGCAACUUCUUGACAUGGUUUUCUGGUGACCAGCGUCUCUUGGGUAGGCUCAGCAUAUAGAGGUGCAGCUCUUUUAAGAGGCUAUGCUGUGCAACAGAGCAUUUGAGCAGCUGGCCCAAUAUAGGUAAAAUAGGUAAAAACACCUGCUGCUUGGACUCAGCAAAUUCCCAGAGCUGGGGCAGUAAACAUGGUGGGUGCCACCAUGAGGCUAGGCUCUCACAGAACUGAGGGGGCGGGGCCAGUUGCCAGAGCUGUGAGGAGGCUGGUGUGGCCAUUUUAAAGGUUGGUCUGGUGUCAGAGAAUGCUACAGACUUUCAGAAAGUCAGGUCUAGAUCAAGAAAUCCUCAGAUUGGUAGAGCAUGCUUAGAACCAUGCUUAGAUGCUAAAGAGAGAUAAGAAAAUGGAUAUAGAUAGUCAUAGAAAAAAUAAACAAUUUAAACAUAAUGAAGUCUUUAAAAAGAGAAUAAAGUGAUAUAAAAAAUAUAAGCCAUGAAGGGAUGGAAAACAUUAUAACACAGGGAGUUUGAACCUUACAUGGUGCUUUGUUAAUUCUGAAAUUUUUGAAUACUAAUGAGUAGAGAAUGACAGCUGCUGAGAGACAUUGGAUUGUGGAAGGGCCUACUGAAUAAAACUAGUCUAUAUACUUUAGAGACGUAUUAGCUUCAAAAUGGAAGUUGGAACACAUUUGUUGUAUUGGGGAAGAGGUUAUUCCUUUUGUUUCCACAGGAACUGAAAAGCUAUGGAUCCCUUCAAAUUUAAUUGAGAUCAGAUUUAACCAGGAGAGACCUCCUGAGGAUCUUGGCUACAGACACUACAGACAUGAGGGGAAAAGCCAAGAAAGACUACAAAACAGGUGAUAUACAAACUGGUCCCUCAGUUUUGGGAACAGCUCUGAGACUGGAUGAGACAUGAUAAAUCUUGUUGGCGUCAGAGUCCUCAUGACUUAUUAUUACAUGCCAUCCUUUCAUAUGGCAUGGAUAGAGAUUUGGUUAUACAGUCCAAAUGGACUUAUAAAGUUGACAGAUGCUCAAGCAUUAAACAAAAGUCAUUGUUAGCUGACUUAUACACACUGCACCUUCCAUACUUAUGUUAAAUACAGAUAUAUAUGUUAGCUUUAAAAGUUUAUUUGUUUUCAGAAAAGAGGACCAGACACCAAUAAAGACAAGUAGCCCAGGUAAUCUAGCCUCUCAGAAUGCCUCUGUUGCAGUUUCCUCAAAAUUUUGCAUCCAGAACAACUUCAAAACUGCUAGCUGAGAUGGUCCAGAAUCAUAGACUACUCCAGUCAGGACUUCAGAUAAGCCCAGCACUUUCCCAUUAUACAGAGACUUGACAACAAAUGAUACAGCUAGCUCUCCCAGGACUUGUCCAUUAAUCAGUUUUCUCAGGGUUCCCUAAAGAUGCUGUCACCCCAGAAUAUAGGAAGCAGUCAGAGAACAUGAUACCCACAUUCCCUAGAGGUAGGGUGGGUAGGUUUUGGUCAUUUGGUAGGUUAUGGGUGUUCGUUAUUAUUUAGGGGUUUGUUUACAAGCUGUUAUUGUUCAUGGUCAGGAAAAAACUAAACAAAGCAGAUUAGAUUUAGGGAUCUCUUUCUGAAGGGACAAAGGGGAGAAUAUAGUAUAGAAAUAAGGGAUAAAAGGGUGGAUUGUUGUGUCUACUUUUGAAUAACCACUAGUCUCAAAUAUUGUACAUUGGUGCUGUGGGAUGGUCUGUAUGGCAAAUGUGUUGCUGAUUAGUCAAUAAAUAAAACACUGUUUGGCCAUUGGCUAGGCAGGAAGUGUAGGCGGGACAAGGAGGAGAAUAAAGCUGGGAAGUGGAAGGCUGAGUCAGAGAGACACUGCCAGCCGCCAUGAUGAGAAACAGCAUAUGAAGAUGCCGGUAAGCCACGAGCCACGUGGCAAGGUAUAGAUUAAUAGAAAUGGAUUAAUUUAAGCUGUAAGAACAGUUAGCAAGAAGCCUGCCACGGCCAUACAGUUUGUAACCAAUAUAAGUCUCUGUGUUUACUUGGUCGGGUCUGAGUGGCUGUGGGACUGGUGGGUGAGAGAGAUUUGCCCUGACCCUGGACCAGGCAGGAAAACUCUAGCUACACAUUGGUAUGGAUUUUUGUAUAGUGAUACAAAUUUAAGGUUAUUUUCAUUACGCUGCAUAGAUAUUCAUAUUCUUUUUUAAAGUUAUUGUGUCUAUAAAGCUCAUUUAAAACUGUAAAGUUCUAGUCCUUAAAAGCUAUAAUUGUAAACCAUUUAAGAUGAUUAAAAAAUGGGUUAAUUUAAGUUAUAAGAUUAGUAGUUAGUCAUCUAUAACAAUCAAACCUAUAGCUAUGUUCUGUAUGUUUUCAAGGUCAUACAGAGAUAUAUUUUACAUAGAUAUAUGAUCUUCAAAAGCUUCAAAAAUGUACAAAAUUUAAAAUUUAAAUUUAAAUGUUCUAAUAACCUAAGGCUCUUCAUGACAGUGAGACAUGUCUGCUCCUGGCAGCACCAAUUUACUUCAAAAAAGGAUGAUGGCCAUCAAAGAACCACCAUAUGGAGUUUGCUUUCUUUGUGGCAAAAGUUAGCCACUGGGCAAGAAAUUGCUCUUGCCUCAAUGGCUGACAGUAUGCUAUCCAAAUUGGACAAGCAGGACCCACAAAAACGCAACUGCCAAACUUUGCCAAGACAAGAUAGGACAGCCCUUCAAAAUUCCUAUUUCACAGAAAUAUCUGUCAGGCAUUCUAGGCCUGUAGGCCAAAGAUGGAUACCCCAAUGUUGCAGAGGAAACUUGGUGACUGUUCAGGCAGCCAGAUGUCUCUGUCAUUUCUAUGGUUUUGGAAGUUGUUUGCUCUGCACAUCCUUCUGAGUCACCAACGGAGGUGGACAGGAGAUAGUUAUAGUUUUCCUUGUUACCAAAUUUAGAAAGGAAACUCACAAAAGUGAUAAAAAGUAUAUGAGGUUGAGAGACACAAAAGAUUAAAUCAUUUAUCUAAGAAAUGUUUUGAGGUCUGAAAAGAUAGUUUUGUGUUGGAAAUACAAGCUAGGAUAGAACAUAAAUUAGGUACAAAACUUUUGACUCACCAAGAUAGGAUAGAUAAUGGAUUAUUUACUCUGAAUUUGGCAAAUACAGAUAGACAUAGGACAUUGUAAAUAUUCUUACCUGAUAAUUGUUCUUAUUGCUAUAGUUUUGCUAUCUUAGAGUUAAAACCUUUCCUUUUUAUUUAAACAAAAAGGGAGAAGUGCUGUGGGGUAUUUGUACACUGCAUGAAGAUAUAUUACUGUGAUUGAUUUCAUAAAGAGCUGAACAGCCAACAGCUAGGCAGGAGGUAUAGGGAGGACUUCCAGGCAUAGAGGAAGGAAGUAGGAGAUGAAUGUAGGCAAGCAUCAGAUGCCAAUGAGACAUGGAGGGAGUCGCACAUAUAAAAUGAAAGAAAGAUAAAAAGCCAUGAGACAAAAAGUAGAUUAAUAUAAAUGGGUUAAUUUAAGUUAUAAGAGCUAAACUAAGGCAAAGCUUUCAUAAUUAAUAAGUCUCUGUUGUUAUUUGGGUGCAGGCUGGCAGGGCAGAGAAAGACUCAUUACAGCAGAGUCCCUUACUGAACCUGAAGACCACUAUUUCAGCUGGAAUAGCUGGCCAGCCAGCCUCCAGGAGUUCUCCUGUCUCUGCCUUUCUUGCAGAGGGUGCAGAGCUGUGCCUGACUUUUACACAGUUUCGGGGAGCCGAACUCAGGUCCUCAUAUGUUUGCAGCAAGGAUGUUAUCCCCUGAGCUACCUCCGCAGCCCAAGAAUUUUUCUUUUAUUUUUGAGAUUAUAAUAUAAUUACAUAAUUUCUCCUUUCCUUUCUCUCCUUUCAUACCCUCCCAUAUAACCCUCCUUACUGUCUUUCAAUUCAUGUCCUUUGUUUUCAUUAAUUGUUGUUAUAUGCAUAUACAUACAUACAUACAUAUAUUUUCAAGUAUAACCUUGAUUUUCAUUUUACACAGCACUGACUUCAUUUAAAUUAAAUUAAAUUCUGAAAGUUCCCUAAAAUGUUCACAAUAUUAUAUCGUAAUGACAUGUAUGUCAUCACUUGUCCACAAAUCCCCUCCAUCUUUAAAAACAUAUCAUAAAAAGGCUAGUUUUAUGGCACUCAGGUUCCAAUCCUGUUUUUGUUUCAUCAUGAACCAGUUUGUGUUUACUAUAGCAAAGCAUGUGAUCUGCAAUAGGCAGCUGGUUUAUUAUAGACAUAGAAUAUGUAAUCCUGCCCCAAGAAAAAAAUAGAAAUAAUCCAGACCAAUGAUUCUCAAACUGUUUUCCUGUACUUGGAUUCAGUAUGGGAUGAAAUUUCCAAUUAAACCAAAACCACUUAUCUUUUCUGAACUGGCUAAUUAAAGUGCACUGAACUGACUUAAGUUUCCAUUUGUGCACUACACUUGAAAAACUGUGUUAUUUACUGCUUAAAAAACAAUGCACAGAGAAUGGGCAGGUUAAUAUUACUGGUCAAGUCUUAGAACACCUAAUCACAUCCGGCAUAUUUGACUCAUGUGUAUUGGGAUAAUUUCAGCUGAGAUGUUAGUUUGCAAAUUUUUUAAUUAGUUUAUUUAUUUUACAUCUGUGCUACAGUUUUCCCUCUCUCAUCUCCUCCCAGUUCCUCUCUUGUACCCCUGUCCCAUUAAUUCAUUCCUCCUCCAUUUCUGCUCAGAAUUUUAAGAUGUCUUAACUGUGCAAGUAAACCUGUUUAUGCUUUUUGAUAGAAUUAAAUAUUUGAGCAUUCAAAAAUGUUAUUGCUAACUUCCAGGGACUCUGAGAAAUUCUAAUUUCUGUUGACUCCCAUAGGUUUGGACAAAUGAGACACAGAUGGAGUGCCUGGCUGGCUUCAGUCACAGUGUCAGGACAGGGAGGAAACAACUUGUAGAAUAACAGGGUAUUCUUUCCUGCUGAUGUCCUACAAAGUGACUAAGAACACUGUAGAUGCUUGUUACAUUUCUGAAGUAAAUGGGAGAAGGGUGGAGAGUCAUCCGGGGUUUGCUGUCCUCAGGUCCACUCUUCAAGGUGUCAGGUAAGCAUCCUUUAUCUUCAGAAGCUGUGCCCACAGCUCAGGCAUUAGCAUUAUACUUGCUUCUUAAGGAGCCUUGCUAAGCUUAACCCUGGGAAGGACUUCCCAUAUUGUCUGGAUCCAUCAUGUGACAAUCUAAUUCCUUUAAAUUCUUAGAGAAAAAAUCCUUCAAUUUAAGAUGUGAUUGCUGCCUUGGUAAGAAUGUUUUGAAUUUUUUCUCUGUGUUGGCUUUCCAAUACCAUUUUGAAGAAGUGUAGCUUAGAGAAAGGUGCAUGGAAGGGGUCACAAAAUGUAUUUUUAGUUUUACUGUGACAAUAUUUCCCAACUAGAGUCUUUUAGAGGACAGGUUGUUGUGGCGUAUUUAUGAAGGUGUCCAAAAUGUUAGGAAUAUAAGAUGGACUGAUUUUAAACAAUAUGUUAGUUGCAUUGACAUAUGCUCAAGAUAUUUUUCAAACUUUAAGGUUCUUUUGUAUUGUUUCUGUGAAUAAGUAAUGGUGUGUGUGUUUGUGUGUGUGUGUGUGUGUGUGUGUGUGUGAGAGAGAGAGAGAGAGAGAGAGAGAGAGAGAGAGAGAGAGAGAGAGAGAGAGACAGACAGACAGAGAGACAGAGAGAAAGAGAGAAAGAGAGAGACAGAGACAGAGAGAAAGACAGAGAGACAGAGACAAACAUAGAGAGAUGAGAGAAGAAAGAGACAUUCCUGGGGGUGGAAUACAUUACAAGGUAGUAGAAUCUAUUUCUCAUAUAUUCCAUUUGGGAAGUCUACAUUUCAUUUUCCUGUUUCAUAGGUAAGAUGGUUAUGUGCAUAAAUCAAGAUAAUUAAGGAUUCUGAAACAGUAAUAAUAAUAGCAACUACAAUGGGAAUAUUAAUAAAAAGAUGCCACAGUGGGAAACACAGGCCCCAGUCAGUAACUACAUUUCCUACAGGCUUCUGUUCUCUACCACACAAUCUAAAAAUGUAAAUUAUUUCUAAAGCUUCUAGGACAGCAGAGCACAGAUUUGCAGGGCACAAACAAACAAAUGUGCACAUUUGCGGUGCCCUUUGAGAACUUGAAAUCUUAUUCUUGUGACCCCAGGAAGCUGGCCAAGAGGAAAGGAGAGGAAAGGCAUACAGGGUAUUUGUCUUUGCAUUUGGAAAUGCCUCUGAUCAGAAGAGCUGGGACAGUGUCUGUGCUUUUGUGGGAACUAGGCAUGUGCCAGUGGAGGAAGCAAGAUCAAGAGCAGUUUGCUCUUUCAGGGACUUCAAAGCCCAUUCAUCUGAAGAUGUGGCCAUUACCAUUUUGGCUUCCUCACUGUGCCUUGGAUGGCCCUGCACUUUUCAAGAGGAAAGCCUUGCUGGGUUGGGGCCAGUUAAAAUGUAUUCCUUGAAGUGCAAUGUCCCAGAAAAUAUGCCCUUCCUGGCUGUGCUCUGUGAUUAUAGUCCCAACCGUGAUCUUUGUUCCUAUUGGAUGAGUCAGAUGCAGAGGUGAACGGGGCAGUGAGGCUGGACUACUGUUUUCCUAGUGUGCUCUUCUUCCUAGUGUGGAGAACUGUAAACAUAAGAACCAUAUCAAGCAGAUUCUGAUUCUCUGACCUCAGGAGUCUUUCUUUUUACAGUAUCAAGAGAUAUUAGGAGGAAAAAGUCAGAAAACAACCAAAUAAAUAAUUACAGUUUUAAAAACCGACUUUGGCUGUUUAUCCUACUCAGUCCCAACCACCAGUCCAACAGGACUAGGGAACUGUUCUCAUCACUGGUAAGUUAAGUCAUGAGACUAAGUUUUGCUCAUGGGGUUUAGGUAUUUUUCUGAGAAUAAGAUAGACAGUAAUUUUCCCAUCUAAAACCAAGACUCAAACCAAAACAGAACAAAGUUUAGGGCAGUGCUCUAACCUUGUAGUUCCUAAUAAUCUAUCUGCUUUAUGUUGGGGGUUCUGAAGACUAGACAGAGGUGUGCCCUUUGUGAAACACAGAGGGCAUCUGUCUUUUCCUAGGUCCCCAGAUCUUAACACAAUAUCUAAACAUAUGUGGAUUGAAUGAGUAAAUCAAGUCUUUGACAGCUUGUCCAGUCAAUAUUCAUUAUGUGAUCUUGGAUACAUUUCUCUUUUGCCAAGUUCUAAUCUCUCAGCUCUAACCAUUUAGGCCUCCUGAUCUCACACCAGGGAGUGACUAUUAUGAAUGAUUCCUGAGAUAAUGUCCACUCAACCCUAGAGAUGUCUCAGGGUAUCUCGGGCUGUGCAUUGGGUGAAGAGACUGACAUUCAUAAGGGGAAGUGACUUUCAAAAUGUACACAGCCAACAGAUAGAAAAGCCAUGGUGAAGCCCACUCUCUGCUGAGGAUAAGGCUCCCUUUCUGCAAACAAGGGGACGUUCAUCAGCUGAGAUUUGGCUUGAAGUCCAAUUAGAGAGCUGUUGGUUACUGCCAAGGUGGCAGCCUUUAUUUUGGUGAUACUCAGAUCAUGAAGAACAAAAGAAAGUGAAUUCUGGGAAAGACUCAGGGUGUCUACUGUUCUUUUCAUGCUGUGAAAAAAGAGAAUGUCAAUUGGAAAUAUUCAGUCACCUGUGGCACCCA